Long non-coding RNA from Triplophysa rosa, 883 nucleotides. RefSeq lists it as uncharacterized. The transcript is spliced from 3 exons. NCBI's taxonomy places the organism in Eukaryota, Metazoa, Chordata, Actinopteri, Cypriniformes, Nemacheilidae. The record is from RefSeq and is a predicted model, not a curated record.
UGUAAUUGUAAUUCAGUGUGUUGUUUUCAGUUGUUGAUGUAUUGAUGUAUUUUUGUACUUGCAGGCGAGUUCUGGGAAUGUGGCAAAAAGUCUGUGGCACAGAGGUAUCUAGCAGGAGGAAGACGAAUGGUAACCCUGAAGAGGCACAUUCUCCUAUAAGAAAAGAAAAGAAAAAUGUCAAGUCCAGUGAUUCUGAGGAUUGUUUUUGGUGGGUAGGAUGAUGCAAGAAAACUUGUACUCAAGAAAGGAAUCCCAAUGUCUGUCGAUGACCUUGUCCAUGACAUAAUCACAGUUUUUGGGGUGAAGCAAAAGUUCAGGCUGCAGUACAAAGAUAAGGACUUUGGAAAUGAAUUGAAGAUGGGGAUACCCUGAAACUGAUUUUUCUAUCAACUGAAGACUCUAAUUCCAGCAUGCAAGAGACUGAGCCUGCUUUACCUUACUGCUCCACCACACCUUCACCCAGUGGAUUUAGUACAGCUACCUGUGAUACUGCUGACGUGAGCAGGGCCAGAUUAACACUUCACUGUACCCUGGGCAACAAUAUUCAAGGGCCCCAUCAUCACGACCCCAGGAUCACCAUAAUCUGGCAAAAUACAGAAUAAAUUACAGUAAUACAGUAAAUAUACUCAAUAUUUCAAUAAUUAACUGUCAUCAAGUGCAUUUUGAUGUACAGAUGUGCAAAUGCUCAUAGAACUACAAAUGCACCACUAUGUUCUCUUGUCAAGGCCACUCACUCAUGAUGUUAUGAAAACAAAACGCAUCGGCAUCAGUAUAAUCUGGCAAAAUUGACCCACUACAUAGAGAGUAAAGGAAGUGUCCUCCAUUUUCACAAAAAAAUAAAUAAGCAACCACUUUCAAAGCAUCCAAUAUUUAUUUAACAACA